This is an unclassified non-coding RNA of Erinaceus europaeus (western European hedgehog), 345 nucleotides long. Its record names the gene 7SK. It matches the Rfam family "7SK RNA". Rfam says of the family: 7SK was discovered as an abundant small nuclear RNA in the mid-70s but a possible function has only recently been suggested. The record is from Ensembl. Lineage: Eukaryota; Metazoa; Chordata; Mammalia; Eulipotyphla; Erinaceidae.
AGAUGUGAGGGUCAUCUGGCUGCGACAUGUCACCCCAUUGAUCGCCAGGGUUGAUAAGGCUGAUUUGAAAGGCUAGGCGGGUGUCUCCUUCCUCCCUCACUGCUCUAAGUGUGUCCCUCCCGAAGCUGCAUGCUCUGUCAGUCGAAGAGGAUGGCCUUCCCUGAAUAGAGACGGACCCGUCUUUGGAUCCAGGGUAUACAAGUAGCUGCGCUCCCCUCUAGAACCUCCAAACAAGCUCUCAACCUAGAUGUUCUCAUUUGUAAAAUGGAGAUAAUAAUAGCCCUUUCAAAUACUAUCUGCCUAAUUACAGUAAAAGAUCCUUUGCCAAUAGGAACUUGCAUCUUU